Molecule: ribosomal RNA, 253 nt
Filed under: uncultured prokaryote
Description: partial 16S ribosomal RNA
Rfam family: Bacterial small subunit ribosomal RNA
Source: RNAcentral
ACGUAGGGUGCGAGCGUUAAUCGGAAUUACUGGGCGUAAAGCGUGCGCAGGCGGUUUUGUAAGCCAGAUGUGAAAGCCCCGGGCUUAACCUGGGAAUGGCAUUUGGGACUGCAAGGCUUGAGUGCGGCAGAGGUGACUGGAAUUCCCGGUGUAGCAGUGAAAUGCGUAGAUAUCAGGAGGAACUCCGGUGGCGAAGGCGGCUCUCUGGACCACAACUGACGCUGAGGCGCGAAAGCUAGGGGAGCAAACAGGA